This is a long non-coding RNA of Apis laboriosa (Himalayan honeybee), 1388 nucleotides long. RefSeq lists it as uncharacterized. The record is from RefSeq and is a predicted model, not a curated record. NCBI's taxonomy places the organism in Eukaryota, Metazoa, Arthropoda, Insecta, Hymenoptera, Apidae. The transcript has 3 exons.
GCUUUGUGCAAUCGCUAACUGCACAGGCGGAAAUUAAAAUAAUCAAAUUUCAUUCCUGGUGACCAUUCAUUGUACUUAAUAAACUUGGAAUAUUAGUAUAUUCCGUUGAAAUAUCCGUUUAUAUUCAACACGUAUAAAGUUUGAUCAACUAGCAAAUAAUUAUAUUCAACACGUAUGGUAAACACGUCACGAUUUUUGCCACAGGUUUACACUUGCAUAUAAAUAAGUUAGAUAAUUUAUUUUUUUAUCACUAGAAAUAUCAGCGAAUCAUCAAGCUCGUGUAAGAAGCAUAAGAUAGAAACUUCUACGCGCACAAUAGAAAAAGCCGUAUGAGAACGCCUUUCCGUCGGUGCCUUUAAACCGCGAUGUCAGUGCACAUUUCUGAACGGGUGGCGCUCUGCCCCCUCCUCCUGGUUUUUUUCUCUCAGUUUCCCCUAUGUGCACCUAAAUACCGUUAUCGUAAUAAACGCAGAUUCCGUUAUUCUUGAAAUAGAGAAUAUCUAUCAGAUAUACGUUCGUGUUAGAUCAACUUUAUCCGAAUUUAAGCUCUUUAAGACAGACGGGCGUUUGCAAAGAUGACAGUAGGAUUCACAAGCAGCACCAUGUCUCGUGUGCGCGAUGCAGCACACGAAUAGUGGGGAGAAUGAAAGAGGCAGUGAGCGAGGUACUGGUGAAGGGAGCAAAAGAGAGGGGGAGAAAUCGAGUAGAAAGUGGGGGAUGAAAAGAGAAGAGAGGGGAACGACGAGGAAGGUAGAGAGGAAGAGUGAGGAAGAAAGAGAAGACAUUGACCGAACGAGCAGCCGCGCGACAAGGCCUCCUUUGCCGUGCUAGGCCAGCUGGAAGGAACGAAGCUUGAACCCUGACUUCUCUUUCUCAACUUAAAUUGGCUACCAAAGAAACGAUGGGAAAAAGCCACUAGAACUCACUGUGUAAAAAACUACCACCUAGCAAAAGCCAUACUCUACCUGCGCACGUGUGCCAACUGCGAAGUGAAACCCCCUAGGACAUGUACCGCGGUUAGAUUACAUGCUUCUUGCAGCUGAAGUGAAUUAAUAAAUUUUUGCCUUAUGAAUAUAUUUAAAAAAUAAUAGGACGAGUAAAAGAAGGUCGUUCCCGGACAUGCGGACGUUCCACCGGUCGGCUACUCCAUGCUUUGGCUAGCCGGCUACUAAACUCGUUCGCACAACGUUGCCACAUCUAUUCGUUCAGUGUUGACACGAUCAAACUCUAAUUCAGCUACUAUAGUUCGCAUAUAUUCAAUCGCAAUGUUAAUGUGCGAGUUCAUAUGCACAUGCGAUUUGAAUUAGUGGAUUUUAAAUGAUCGUCUUCUAUAUUAUAUCAUUUUGAUUUAUCAAAUGACAAAUAGAAAAACAUAAAAACAUAUUCAA